RNAcentral lists this ribosomal RNA (253 nucleotides) under uncultured bacterium. Its description in RNAcentral is "partial 16S ribosomal RNA". It matches the Rfam family "Bacterial small subunit ribosomal RNA", at positions 524 to 776 of the family's 1533-position model. The record is from RNAcentral.
UACGUAGGUGGCAAGCGUUGUCCGGAUUUACUGGGCGUAAAGGGAACGCAGGCGGUCUUUUAAGUCUGAUGUGAAAGCCUUCGGCUUAACCGGAGUAGUGCAUUGGAAACUGGGAGACUUGAGUGCAGAAGAGGAGAGUGGAACUCCAUGUGUAGCGGUGAAAUGCGUAGAUAUAUGGAAGAACACCAGUGGCGAAAGCGGCUCUCUGGUCUGUAACUGACGCUGAGGUUCGAAAGCGUGGGUAGCAAACAGG